Molecule: ribosomal RNA, 479 nt
Filed under: uncultured bacterium
Lineage: Bacteria
Description: partial 16S ribosomal RNA
Rfam family: Bacterial small subunit ribosomal RNA
Source: RNAcentral
GAUGAACGCUAGCGGGAGGCCUAACACAUGCAAGCCGAGCGGUAGAGUCUCUUCGGAGACUUGAGAGCGGCGCACGGGUGCGGAACACGUGUGCAACCUGCCUUUAUCUGGGGGAUAGCCUUUCGAAGGGAAGAUUAAUACCCCAUAAUAUACUGGAUGGCAUCAUCUGGUAUUGAAAACUCCGGUGGAUAGAGAUGGGCACGCGCACGAUUAGAUAGUUGGUGAGGUAACGGCUCACCAAGUCAGCGAUCUUUAGGGGGCCUGAGAGGGUGAUCCCCCACACGGGUACUGAGAAACGGACCAGACUCCUACGGGAGGCAGCAGUGAGGAAUAUUGGACAAUGGGUGAGAGCCUGAUCCAGCCAUCCCGCGUGAAGGACGACGGCCCUAGGGGUUGUAAACUUCGUUUGUAUAGGGAUAAACCUAGAUACGUGUAUCUAGCUGAAGGUACUAUACGAAUAAGCACCGGCUAACUCCGUG